GUCCAGACUCCUACGGGAGGCAGCAGUGGGGAAUAUUGCACAAUGGGGGAAACCCUGAUGCAGCGACGCCGCGUGAGUGGAGAAGUAUUUCGGUAUGUAAAGCUCUAUCAGCAGGGAAGAAAAUGACGGUACCUGACUAAGAAGCCCCGGCUAACUACGUGCCAGCAGCCGCGGUAAUACGGAGGAUGCGAGCGUUAUCCGGAUUUAUUGGGUUUAAAGGGUGCGUAGGCGGUCCGGAAAGUCAGCGGUAAAAGCCGGGGGCUCAACCCCGGCGAGCCGUUGAAACUGUCGGACUAGAGACGGCGAGAAGUACGCGGAAUGCGCGGUGUAGCGGUGAAAUGCAUAGAUAUCGCGCAGAACUCCGAUUGCGAAGGCAGCAUGCCGGCUCCACACUGACGCUGAGGCACGAAAGCGUGGGUAUCGAACAGGAUUAGAUACCCCCGUA
This 445-nucleotide ribosomal RNA is filed under the name uncultured bacterium. Its description in RNAcentral is "bacterial SSU rRNA". It matches the Rfam family "Bacterial small subunit ribosomal RNA", at positions 329 to 792 of the family's 1533-position model. The record is from RNAcentral.